This 253-nucleotide ribosomal RNA is filed under the name uncultured bacterium. RNAcentral describes it as "partial 16S ribosomal RNA". It matches the Rfam family "Bacterial small subunit ribosomal RNA", at positions 524 to 776 of the family's 1533-position model. The record is from RNAcentral.
UACGAAGGGGGCUAGCGUUGCUCGGAAUCACUGGGCGUAAAGCGCACGUAGGCGGACUCUUAAGUCGGUGGUGAAAUCCUGGAGCUCAACUCCAGAACUGCCUUCGAUACUGGGAGUCUCGAGUCCGAGAGAGGUGAGUGGAACUGCGAGUGUAGAGGUGAAAUUCGUAGAUAUUCGCAAGAACACCAGUGGCGAAGGCGGCUCACUGGCUCGGUACUGACGCUGAGGAGCGAAAGCGUGGGGAGCGAACAGG